CUAAAAUCAUCGGUGAAAAUGAAGAUGGUGAAUGCAUGUUUCUCCCAAGUUUUCCACUUCUCCCCACCUUAAAAUCAGAGGGCAGGAGUGAACGGACUGUUUUAAGACUAAAUGAAAGCUAUGUUUUUGGUUAAAGGUAAUUAACAAAUAGACUGAGAGCUUGUUAGCUUUCUAAAGCUUCAAGUGGUCAAAUUAGACUAGAAUUAAAAAUAGAACCAAUUUAAUCAGCAAGAAGAGCAGUUGAAAGAUGCAUUUCAAUUAGACUUGCAUCAAUUUAAAUGUAAAAAUAAUGUGAUUCCUCUAUCCAAAAUUGCCCAAUUUCAUCUUAGACUUCAAUUUAAAUACCUAUUUGUUACAUAUAUUUUAUAUCUAUAUAUGUUUCUUUUUUAUUUCUGCCCAUAUAUCUGCCUCUCAAAAAAAUUCCCUAGCAUUAAGCAAUAGCAAUAAGGUUGGUUGGAAAUCUCGAACCAAAUGUAACUCAAAGGUCAUGAAACUAACUCGGAUUAGUGGCCAUGAAGGACUUGCGGGGGUGGGGUGGGGUGUGAAGUGAGCUUUAUGUGUGCAACCGUAGUGUUCAAAAGCUCUAACUCAAAAUUCAUUUUAGGCCAAUUCGUUAAACCAGCCGUCUAAACGGGCCCUGGCACUGGGUAUCCGACCGCUCCACGCGCCAGCUGGUGAGGCCUGGAGUUGGAACCGGAAGCCGUCUCCAGCCGGCCUCCUAGGCCCUAGGUGCCCGGGUGGGCACACUUCCGCGAGGGCCCGGGGACAGCGCCGGCCAAGUCUUGCGGGCAACUGCACACUCGGUUCCGGGAGGCAGGUACUCCAGGUCGGGAGCCCUGAGGCCAAGCCUGUCUCAGUUCCCACGUCAAGAGGAAGCCUGGGCUUCGGAGCCCACCCUGCCUGGGGCCGCGGUCCCGGAGCGCGGCGGGAAGAACGCCCACGUCACCUCCCGGUGUUGUUACACCCACAAUCACCACACUCUGACCCCCGCAAAGACCACAGAGGAGUAGGAAGAGGGCUGCCCUCGUACUCCCCAAGCCACCCCCGCCUCUGAGCGCGGAGGCACGAUGUUCUGGGGCUCGAGCCUUCGCAUCCACCGGGCCAGCGCUAACCACCGGCCGCCGCCCUGGAGGGGACCCGGCGGCCCCGCCACGUGCGGCUGCGAGUUUCAGACCCGCUUCCGGGGGGCGGCGGCCGUCGGAGGCCUGGGUUGGGGGGUCGUGAGCCGGAUGUUCCCCGCAGCUGGCCAGAAAGCUGCCUCUGAGCCUCUUGAGCAACUCCCUGCCUCCUCCGGUAGUCUCUCUGGACUCUCCAAGUGACUUGCUGGGGGCACCGGGCGCGGGGAGGGCAGGCCCCCGGGGUGACGCAGAGAAACCCCGGGACUAGCUCUGUCCCUGGUGCCCCGGCUACUGCCAGCGGGUCCUUAGCGCUGUCGAUUGCGCGCACCGGAGCCCGAAGUCUUCCCCACCGCUGGCAGGAGAGCCCCGCGAGCUCUCCCGGACGUGUCGGGUCCUAAAGGGGAGAGCUGAGCAGCCACUUCAGGGAUUGCACUCCGAGGUGGCCGAGGCAGGGAGGAGCGCUGGCCCCGCGAAGGAGGCCUCAACCUUAGGACAACCCGGGCGUCCCGGGCGAAGGUCUCGAUCUGCCGGAGCCACUGCCUUUCAGGCAUCGCUCCAUUAAAGCCAGGGAGGAGAGGGUCAUUGGCCAGCGACCCGCCCUCCUUACGUCCGGAGGUCACCCCACGCCUACAGGCAGGUUUUUCUGUCUCCUUUGCAGAACACUAUGCGUUUGUUACAACGAUUAAAUGAAGAACACAGAAGUCUCUGGCUCUGCCGGGCAGAACGCCUCUUAAGAGUAUCGCAGCUAAAAAGUGGGUUGGCUGUAAGCUGAUAAUCAGGUAGCUGUGGUCAGACACCCACUCCAGAACCUCUGCUACUCAGAGACCAUGUUAUCACACGCGACGUCCAUUAGGCCCCAGUAAUCCGCUAUCAACGCAUUUUAGAGCCAUUUGAAUGUUAAGGAGAUUUUUAUUAAUGGUCCAUGAUCCUAAAAUGUGACUAUUGGUUCUAGGAACAGAUUUUAACAACUCAAGGCUGUGAUGAGUGAUUUUCUGAUUUCUGUGCAGCCUAAGGCCUCAGGAGAUUUCAUCUGGGAGAUUGGGGGCAAGACCUAAGCCCUCACCCCACCAAGGACCUGUCUCUAAAGGGUACUUUCCAGCUUUUACCUGGGGAAACUGAGAUAGAGGGGGAGCAGGCCUGUGGCUCCUAAAGGCAGCAUUUGAAGGUCCUUUAAUGGGGAGACCAGGGGGACAAAAAAAGCAAUCAACAAUUGUAUGGCUACUAGAAACUGGCAUCUUAUUUUUAAAGAAGCCCUCAGCUGGAAAUGUCACCUAGUGAUGUCAAGUAGACUAAGAAAUUCUUAAUCAAAAGGCCCCCUUUGCACACCUGCAGUAGGCAAACUGAGGCAGGAGCAGUAGAGGUAGCAGGUAGCAGAGGAUUCUGAUUCUUGAAUACCUUUUUUUCCUUGUGGUGCUGAAACAGAAGUCAAUCCAAACUUUGCCCACUUACCAUUAUAUUUUCAGUGGGAUUCUUUUUUGUUUUCUUUGUUGUUGCUGUUGUUUUUUCUUUCAAAAUACCGUGUUUCCACUAAGAAUUAAAAGAAAAGGGGUGGGGAGAUUAAGGAAUAAAAGUGAGUCAUAGACCUCAUGCUGUUUGACUUUCCCUCUAGGAGAAAAACAAAAUUUGAAGCGACCCUCCCCCUAGUGAUAGCCUGGCUUCCCUGGCACCUGCA
This 2790-nucleotide long non-coding RNA is filed under the name Homo sapiens (human). RNAcentral describes it as "HSALNT0377208". Lineage: Eukaryota; Metazoa; Chordata; Mammalia; Primates; Hominidae. The record is from RNAcentral.